This is a long non-coding RNA of Mus musculus (house mouse), 195 nucleotides long. RefSeq annotates it as predicted gene, 47889. The transcript is spliced from 2 exons. The record is from RefSeq and is a predicted model, not a curated record. Lineage: Eukaryota; Metazoa; Chordata; Mammalia; Rodentia; Muridae.
UCUGCAGCGUUUGCUGAUUUCCAAGAGCCACUCUGGAGCUAUCGAGCAGUUCGCAAGCUGCUCGCGUCCUGGGAACACAGUGUUCCAGUCGUGCUCCCUGGAGAUCAUGCAGUUGGGAAUUCUCUGACUGUAAAGCGGACCUUCACAGAGCCACGAUCAAGAUGCAGAACUCUCAGCUUCUUCAGCACCAUGUCU